GCAUCGGGGGCGGGGCUCCGGAUUGAAGGCGUGAGCGAACCGGGCUGACGACUCCGCAGGUUGUCGGUCCUCCCUUAUUGAGGUGUGGAGCGCCCAGAACGGGCUACCUGAGAACUGUAGUUGUGGAAGAUUUCACAGCCAUAACAUGUAUCCUACCAUGAUCUACAGACUGAAAAUCAUCAGAACUGAGGCUCAGAUGGGAGCAGAAUGAGUCAGGU
RNAcentral lists this long non-coding RNA (218 nucleotides) under Ictidomys tridecemlineatus (thirteen-lined ground squirrel). RNAcentral's name for it is "lncRNA (ENSSTOG00000034023.1)". The record is from RNAcentral. Lineage: Eukaryota; Metazoa; Chordata; Mammalia; Rodentia; Sciuridae.